GCUUGCAGCCAUAGCACCCUGAGCACGCCCGAGCUCGUCUGAUCUUGGAAGCUAAUCGGAAGGUUGGUGGUUUGAUCCCUGGCUGCUUCAGUCUGCAUGCC
Molecule: ribosomal RNA, 101 nt
Filed under: Amphilophus citrinellus (Midas cichlid)
Lineage: Eukaryota; Metazoa; Chordata; Actinopteri; Cichliformes; Cichlidae
Source: RNAcentral